RNAcentral lists this ribosomal RNA (617 nucleotides) under Pseudomonas fragi. RNAcentral's name for it is "bacterial SSU rRNA". It matches the Rfam family "Bacterial small subunit ribosomal RNA", at positions 100 to 714 of the family's 1533-position model. Lineage: Bacteria; Pseudomonadati; Pseudomonadota; Gammaproteobacteria; Pseudomonadales; Pseudomonadaceae. The record is from RNAcentral.
GACGGGUGAGUAAUACCUAGGAAUCUGCCUGAUAGUGGGGGAUAACGUUCGGAAACGGACGCUAAUACCGCAUACGUCCUACGGGAGAAAGCAGGGGACCUUCGGGCCUUGCGCUAUCAGAUGAGCCUAGGUCGGAUUAGCUAGUUGGUGAGGUAAUGGCUCACCAAGGCUACGAUCCGUAACUGGUCUGAGAGGAUGAUCAGUCACACUGGAACUGAGACACGGUCCAGACUCCUACGGGAGGCAGCAGUGGGGAAUAUUGGACAAUGGGCGAAAGCCUGAUCCAGCCAUGCCGCGUGUGUGAAGAAGGUCUUCGGAUUGUAAAGCACUUUAAGUUGGGAGGAAGGGCAGUUACCUAAUACGUGAUUGUCUUGACGUUACCGACAGAAUAAGCACCGGCUAACUCUGUGCCAGCAGCCGCGGUAAUACAGAGGGUGCAAGCGUUAAUCGGAAUUACUGGGCGUAAAGCGCGCGUAGGUGGUUUGUUAAGUUGAAUGUGAAAUCCCCGGGCUCAACCUGGGAACUGCAUCCAAAACUGGCAAGCUAGAGUAUGGUAGAGGGUAGUGGAAUUUCCUGUGUAGCGGUGAAAUGCGUAGAUAUAGGAAGGAACACCAGUG